Molecule: unclassified non-coding RNA, 2517 nt
Organism: Vigna unguiculata (cowpea)
Lineage: Eukaryota; Viridiplantae; Streptophyta; Magnoliopsida; Fabales; Fabaceae
Source: RefSeq, a predicted model, not a curated record
UGAAGAUAGUGAGCUUGAGUUCAGAUGCAAAAGAAGUAGAAGAAAGCCAACCAUGGCCAUGGUAAUGGCCCUCAACUUCAAAACCAAGCUCUAUCAUGACUUUGAAUCCCUCUGUUCCUGCGUUGGCGUUCACCUUCACCGUCUUCCAUUUUCCUCUCUCUCCCCCUUCCCCUACGAAGACCACGACCUUCUAUGUGCAAUCUCCGAAGCAAUCCAAGAUUCCCAGAACAAACACAACCAUGAUUACUCUCAGAACCCAAGACUCCGGCGCAUCCUCCCUUCCCUUACGACGCGCCACGUCGCCAACCUCAUCACCCUCAAUCCUCUCUCCCUCUCCCCUUCCUCCCUCCUCUCCUUCUUCAACUACCUCGCAUCGCGACCCCCCUUUCGCCACACGCUCCAUUCCUACUGCACCAUGCUUCACUUCCUCUACCUCCACCGAAUGCUACCCGAAGCACACUCCCUUCUUUCCUUCCUCGUUUCGCGAAAAGGAUCCAACUCCGCUUCUUCCCUUUUCUCUUCCAUUCUCCGCACCAUGCCUCUCCGUCACCACUCCGCUGGCGUAGUCUUCGAUGCUCUAAUGUGCGCUUACGUUGAUUCCGGGUUUAUACCGGACGCUGUUGAGUGCUUCAGGUUGGUUUUGAAGAAUAAGUUCCCCGCCCCGGUUCGCGGUUGCGAGAAUCUGCUUCGUCACGUGGUCAGGUUGAAACCCCUUGAAGUUGAACGCGCUUGGGGUUUAUAUUUGGAGGUUUUGGAUUCUGGGUAUCCGGCAAGAAUUUAUUUUUUUAACGUUUUGAUGCAUGGGUUUUGCAAAGUUGGUGACGUUGGUAAUGCGCGGUUGGUGUUCGAUGAAAUUCCCAAGAGGGGUUUGCGGCCGACGGUUGUUAGUUUUAAUACUUUGAUUAGUGGGUGUUGUAAAGUGGGGAAUGUGGAGGAGGGUUUUCGGUUGAAGGGUGUUAUGGAGAGUGAGGGAAUAUAUCCUGAUGUUUUCACUUUCAGCGCUUUGAUCAAUGGGUUGUGUAAGGAGGGUAGGUUGGAUGAGGGGAGUCUUUUGUUUGAUGAGAUGUGCGGGAGAGGAUUGGUUCCGAAUGGUGUUACAUUCACUACUCUGAUUGAUGGGCAGUGCAAAGGUGGGAAAGUGGAUUUGGCUUUGAAGAAUUUUCAGAUGAUGCUGGCUCAGGGUGUUAGACCUGACUUGGUUACUUAUAAUGCAUUGCUCAAUGGUCUCUGUAAGGUUGGAGAUUUAAAGGAGGCUAGGCGGCUUCUGGAUGGGAUGAGUGCGAGUGGUUUGAAGCCUGACAAGAUCACUUUCACCACACUGAUUGAUGGAUUUUGCAAGGAUGGAGAAAUGGAAUCUGCGUUGGAGAUUAAAAGGAGAAUGGUAGAAGAGGGGAUUGAACUUGACGAUGUAGCUUUCACGGCACUGAUCUCUGGGCUUUGUAGAGAUGGGAGAGUUCAUGAUGCGGAGAGAAUGUUAAGAGACAUGUUGAGUGCUGGUUUCAAACCGGAUGAUCCAACGUAUACCAUGUUAAUUGAUUGCUUUUGUAAGAAGGGUGAUGUUAAGGAGGCGUUCAAGUUGCUCAAGGAGAUGCAAAGCAAUGGACAUAGACCAGGAGUUGUCACGUAUAAUGCGCUAAUGAAUGGAAUGUGCAAGCAAGGUCAGAUGAAAAAUGCUAAAAUGCUGUUAGAUGCAAUGCUUAAUUUGGGGGUGGCUCCAAAUGAUAUCACGUAUAACAUUUUACUAGAUGGUCAUUGCAAGCAUGGAAGCUCACUUGAUGUUGACACAUUCAAUUCUGAGAAAGGACUUGUUGCAGAUUAUGCUACAUAUAAAGCACUUGUUAAUGAAUCAAGUAAAACUUCAAAAGAUCGCCUAAAGGGAUGAUUGUUACUGAUAUCUUUUAAGCUGAACUGCAGUAGUUGCUGGACCUGGCUUACAGAUAAAACAUCAUCAGAGUAAAUCAAAAGUAGCUCCACUAUCAUCACUGAAGCGUGAUUCCUUGCAAAUAAAAGCCGAAAUUGCUUCUAACUGUGAUUCAGUGGCAUUUCAAUGGCUUUUUACUACCAGAUAUGGAUGCCAAUUUACGGUUUUUUUCCCCUUCUAGGCAAAUCACUAUGUAUUAUUACGGAAGUAGGCAGAUUUUUUAAAAAUUACAGAAAUGGACAAAACGUUAUGGGGGUGCACGUUUUCGUAUGAAGAAAUCGUGUAGCCCCAAACGUUUUCGUGGUCAAGCGGGUCAAAGGGCGAAAUUGUAUGGGGGGUGAACGUUUUUGGUUUAGUAAUCGAUUACAACAUGUUGUAAUCGAUUACUGCAUGCUGUAAUCGUGCAGGGGGGUUACAUUUUUCGUUCAGUAAUCGAUUACCGUAUGCUGUAAUCAAUUAGUGCAUGCGUUGCAAUUUUCUGGGUGUAAUGUGAUCGAUUAUAGACGAAGUGUAAUCGAUUACAUGAUUAAUGCAUUAUGUUCGAGUGAAAUGUAAUCGAUUACAAAGGUAUUGUAAUCGAUUACAGUCCAAAUUUU